AGAGUUUGAUCCUGGCUCAGAACGAACGCUGGCGGCAGGCUUAACACAUGCAAGUCGAACGCCCCUUUCGGGGGGAGUGGCAGACGGGUGAGUAACACGUGGGAACGUACCUCUUUGUUCGGAAUAACUCAUGGAAACGUGAGCUAAUACCGGAUACGCCCUUUUGGGGAAAGAUUUAUCGCAGAGAGAUCGGCCCGCGUCUGAUUAGCUAGUUGGUGAGGUAAUGGCUCACCAAGGCGACGAUCAGUAGCUGGUCUGAGAGGAUGAUCAGCCACACUGGGACUGAGACACAGCCCAGACUCCUACGGGAGGCAGCAGUGGGGAAUAUUGGACAAUGGGGGCGACCCUGAUCCAGCCAUGCCGCGUGAGUGAUGAAGGCCUCAGGGUUGUAAAGCUCUUUUAUCCGGGAAGAUAAUGACUGUACCGGAAGAAUAAGCCCCGGCUAACUUCGUGCCAGCAGCCGCGGUAAUACGAAGGGGGCUAGCGUUGUUCGGAAUCACUGGGCGUAAAGGGCGCGUAGGCGGACGAUUAAGUCAGGGGUGAAAUCCCGGGGCUCAACCUCGGAAUUGCCCUUGAUACUGGUUGUCUUGAGAUUGGAAGAGGUAAGUGGAAUUGCGAGUGUAGAGGUGAAAUUCGUAGAUAUUCGCAAGAACACCGGUGGCGAAGGCGACUUACUGGUCCAUAUCUGACGCUGAGGCGCGAAAGCGUGGGGAGCAAACAGGAUUAGAUACCCUGGUAGUCCACGCCCGUAACGAUGGAUGCCAGCUGUUGGGGAGCAUGCUCUUCAGUGGCGCAGUCAGCACAUUAAGCAUCCCGCCUGGGGAGUACGGUCGCAAGAUAAAAUUCAAAGGAUUUGACGGGGGCCCGCACAAGCGGGGGAGCAGGUGGUUUAUUCCAAGCCACGCGCAGAACCUUACCCCUCUUGCCCUCCGGGGCUACAUGAAAAGAUUCAUGGU
RNAcentral lists this ribosomal RNA (956 nucleotides) under uncultured bacterium. Its description in RNAcentral is "bacterial SSU rRNA". It matches the Rfam family "Bacterial small subunit ribosomal RNA", at positions 8 to 1014 of the family's 1533-position model. The record is from RNAcentral.